GCCCCAUAUAAGAUCAAGAGGCCCUCUAAUCAUAGGACAUGCCCAACUUGAUCAAAUCAAGGUGGCGCCCAAGAAUAAUUAUCAAGAAAAUUAAUAAGGGACUUGCACCUUUAAAUCAUAAGAUCCAAAACCUUAGACAUCCAACAAUUGCAGUCUUAUGAAUUUAAUUCAUAUAGGUUAUUAGCAGGUAAUUAAGUUUGAAUUAUUUUAUCAAAUAAAAAAUCCAAACGGAAAGAGGAAUUAGAUCUAACAUUAUGCUAGCAAGGUUUCCUUGAACCCAAUCAGAUUUCUCCAAAUCCAAUUGACAUUUCAUAAACUCAAUUGCUAAUUCCAGGCCUAAUCCCUUUGUUGUGUGACCCCAUAAGUUCAAUUCUAUUUGGUAGUGAGAUAUACAAUGAUCUCUAUCAAAAUAUCAUUGAAACUCUUUUCAGUGGGUCGGAAUAAUUUCACUCUAACUCAUCAAGGAUUGUCGAUCCAGAACAAUUCUAAUGAGCUCUCACAAUCUACCAGUGACACCUAGCAGUAUGUAGUGGCAACCCAAUAGAACUGAAAUGAACCUCUAGGUGUAGUUAACAUGUGAUUCAGUCCCUCUAUCGUGAGUCCCAAUUUAAUGGCAGGUAAUGGAUAAAUCGUCAAAUCUUGACAUCAGUCAUAUGAUAGAUUCGAUUAGCUCAAGUCUAGUUGCGACUUCUGUGAAAAUUUUUUUCUAUCAAUUACACUACUAUGGCCAUGGAUUCUCGGACUUAGCUUCUCAAGUCUCAUAGGACUACUCCUUUCUAUUAAGGUUGAUAGAUCCCAUCUUGAUGUGCACCCUACCCCUAUAGUGGAUCAACUGUCGCCAACAUCUACUACAAGGGCUCAUUAAGACCCAUGUUUAUGUGUUAGUCAAACUCUAGCAGUAUCACUGCGGGCAAUAGUACAAUCUCAGGUCAAAAGUUCAUUCACACAACUACAGCAUCGAGAUGAUCCCGACGAUCGAGUAGAAAUCCAAGUGAUAUCUCGUAUGGUCACGCUCAGUAUUAAUUGUUCUCUAACAACUAUCCGUACUCAUUGUUUAGUGUCUCUACACUGUAGAGUAAAGACCCAUCUAUCCCAAAGAAAACGAUCUGUGCACCAGUCUAUCCGGAUUGGUCAUCGUCCUCAUGAUGAUCUUAUGAUCGGAAGUACUUAGGAAUUAAAUACAUAUCUUUAAUUCUUAAUACUUUGAGAAUAUGUAUCAAAACAAAUUUCAUAGACGAUUCAAGGACACAUUGUUAAAAAAUCGGAAAGGCAGCAUGUGAAGAUUUUAAAAUUUUGAAAAUAGGUAGCGAAAAACAAAACGGGUUAAACUCUUUAACCCCACAUGUUAGAUACCAGAUCUAAACCUACCCAAGCUCAGGAAAAGCACAUAUUAUCAAUCUGAAAUUUAGAAAAAUUUAUGAGAUCAGAUCUCAUUACCUUUGCGCGGAUAGAAAUUCAUCGCUAUUGAUGAUCUCGGAUUUGUAGAAGGUUGAGCCGCAUACGUGUCUGGCCUUUACGGGUAUCCAUCGGGAUCGAUCUUGAACUUUUUCUUCUCGUAUUAGAUUUUUCUUUUCAAAAAGAAUCUUGGCCUUGAAGACUUUGAUCAACUCUUUUGAUCUUAAUUUCGAGAUCAACUUCUUGAUCUGCAGCCUUCUUCUUCUCCUCCUCGAACCUUGAUCUCUAAGUCACCAGAACUUCAUUUAGGCGUAUGGAAGAGAGAGCACCCAACUUUUGGGCGUGGAAAGGAAGAAAAUGAUGAGAGGAGGCGUGGAGAUAGAGAGAGAGUUUUGUUGAUCAAAAAUUCAUUCUGUAAAAUCUUGGAGACCACCCUUUAUAUAUAGACAUUGUCCUGAUACAUAUUAGGAACCCAAUCAACUUAAAAAAGUAGAUUCUUAUCUCAUAAGAAUCCUCUACCUUUUAAAUCUGAUUUAUGCCAAAUAAAAUCAGAUAUAAAUGGUAAUUAAUCAGCUCUUUUAAGUAUGUACAACAAGCAUCCAUGGAAUACAUGUCAGAUGGUUGGGGCGCCAAUUCUUGGCACCCCACAAAGGGAUCUCUAGCCAAAAGAGAUUAGGCAUGGACCCCACUUUCUCUCCUCCAUGCCAUGACACAUAAGAGAGGGUGGGCCCCUUUAUGAUAUGGUACCCAAUAAUUUUCAAAAAGAAAAAGAUGCACCAUAAUUUUUCCAUCUAUUCCACAUGCAUACUUAGAGAUAAUUAGGAGAUGAAGAAGUGAUAAUGUUAGGAUAAUUAUGUCAACUAAUUGACUUAAUCAAAUCUUCUUGGGCUCACAAUUAAGAGCCUAAUUAAAUCCAAAUGAAUUUAGGUUAGGUUCAAAGCUAUGGACUUGAUCAAAUCAAAGUCUCGAGA
RNAcentral lists this long non-coding RNA (2366 nucleotides) under Elaeis guineensis (African oil palm). RNAcentral describes it as "long non-coding RNA (EGUI_LNC079133)". The record is from RNAcentral. Lineage: Eukaryota; Viridiplantae; Streptophyta; Magnoliopsida; Arecales; Arecaceae.